Small nucleolar RNA from Onychomys torridus (southern grasshopper mouse), 127 nucleotides. RefSeq annotates it as small nucleolar RNA SNORA40. The transcript has a single exon. Lineage: Eukaryota; Metazoa; Chordata; Mammalia; Rodentia; Cricetidae. The record is from RefSeq and is a predicted model, not a curated record.
UGUGUGUGUGUGUGUGUGUGUACAAAUAGUGGACAAAGACAGAUUAGACAGGUAAAAAAUCAAUCAUUUUUUGCAACCCAGAUUUCAUUGUUCAGUAUGAGUUUUGGUAUAUAGAAGAAAAAAUAUA